UGCUGCUGUGAUGACACUUAUUUGCUACUCUUGACAAGCUGGAUGACGAGAUAUUCAACCACCAUGUUAAACCGUCUGAGGCA
Acanthochromis polyacanthus (spiny chromis) is the source of this 83-nucleotide small nucleolar RNA. Its record names the gene SNORD24. It matches the Rfam family "Small nucleolar RNA SNORD24". From Rfam's summary of the family: U24 is a member of the C/D class of snoRNA which contain the C (UGAUGA) and D (CUGA) box motifs. The record is from Ensembl. Lineage: Eukaryota; Metazoa; Chordata; Actinopteri; Pomacentridae.